UGGCGGCGCGCUUAACACAUGCAAGUCGAGCGAGAACCAGCCCUUCGGGGCUGGGGAAAGCGGCGAACGGGUGAGUAACACGUGGGUAAUCUGCCCUCGGCACUAGGGAUAGCCCGGGGAAACCCGGAUUAAUAACCGGAUGGACUUUCGAGUCUUUGGACUCGUCAGAAAAGGUGGCUUCGGCUUCCGGCUGAGGAGGAGCCCGCGGCGGAUUAGCUUGUUGGUGGGGUAACGGCCUACCAAGGCGACGAUCCGUAGCUGGUCUGAGAGGACGAUCAGCCACACUGGGCACUGAGACACGGCCCAGACUCCUACGGGAGGCAGCAGUGGGGAAUCUUGCGCAAUGGGCGAAAGCCUGACGCAGCGACGCCGCGUGCGGGAAGAAGGCCUUCGGGUUGUAAACCGCUUUCAGGAGGGACGAAGCCACUCGGGUUAAUAGCCCAGAGGGUGACGGUACCUCCAGAAGAAGCCCCGGCUAACUACGUGCCAGCAGCCGCGGUAAUACGUAGGGGGCAAGCGUUGUCCGGAUUUAUUGGGCGUAAAGCGCGUGUAGGCGGCCAGGUAGGUCGGCUGUGAAAACUCGACGCUCAACCUCGAGAUGUCGGCCGAAACCAUCUGGCUAGAGUCCGGAAGAGGAGAGUGGAAUUCCCGG
RNAcentral lists this ribosomal RNA (652 nucleotides) under uncultured bacterium. Its description in RNAcentral is "bacterial SSU rRNA". It matches the Rfam family "Bacterial small subunit ribosomal RNA", at positions 37 to 673 of the family's 1533-position model. The record is from RNAcentral.